UACGUAGGGGGCAAGCGUUGUCCGGAAUUAUUGGGCGUAAAGAGCUCGUAGGCGGUUUGUCACGUCGGAUGUGAAACCCUGAGGCUCAACCUCAGGCCUGCAUUCGAUACGGGCAGACUAGAAUUCGGCAGGGGAGACUGGAAUUCCUGGUGUAGCGGUGAAAUGCGCAGAUAUCAGGAGGAACACCGGUGGCGAAGGCGGGUCUCUGGGCCGAUAUUGACGCUGAGGAGCGAAAGCGUGGGGAGCGAACAGG
Molecule: ribosomal RNA, 253 nt
Filed under: uncultured bacterium
Lineage: Bacteria
Description: partial 16S ribosomal RNA
Rfam family: Bacterial small subunit ribosomal RNA
Source: RNAcentral